AACAGUUAUUGGUGUAUAAAUGAAAAAAGUUUUUAAAGAGGUUUCUAUCAUAGAAAAGAUUUGAUCCUCCUUAAGUCGAAUCUCCUCCUCAUAAUUUAAAUAUGUUUUAAAUACGUUCGUCCUUCCGUCAACAGCAAAUAAGCAAAUCACAGAGUCAGAGCGGGACAUCACUCUAUUUAUGUGAUGCUUAAACUCUCUUAAACUUUGGAGAACAGAGAAGACCCCAGUACAAACAUCACACACCAUGUUCUCUACAUCUCUACUGCUCCUGCUGGCAGCUGCUUCCUAUGUGCAUGGUGAGGAACUGACUCAGCCUGCUUCCAUGACAGUCCAGCCAGGCCAGAGUCUCUCCAUCAACUGCAAGGUUUCAUACUCAGUUACAAGCUAUUAUACAGCUUGGAUCCGACAACCUGCAGGAAAAGCUCUGGAGUGGAUUGGACGUGUUUACAGUGGGAACACAGAUUACAAUAACAAACUGAAAAAUAAGUUCAGCCUCUCCUAUGACACAUCUACUAACACAAUAACAAUUCGAGGACAGAACAUGCAGACUGAAGACACAGCUGUGUAUUACUGCGCUCGAGACCCCACAGUGAUACACAUCAUCAACAUGCCUGUACAAAAACAUUACUAUUGUACAUGAUAACAAAAUCAACACAAGACACAACCCUUACUUACAAGCCUACUGGUCAUAAACAACAACUGUUUAUCAGCAAAAUCAGAAUUUCAAUCAGAAUUUCAUCAGUUUGGUGUGUUUUGUGUCAUGUUCCUUCAUGAACAUUGGACAAAGUCCAGAGUGAAAAGUGCUCAUCAUGUUUUAAAACUCUGUGUGGUUAUUUUAUUUUACAGAAAAAUCUAAAUAAAAUAUAUGAACCAUUUCCAAACACAUACAGUACCAGUCCUGCACAAGUGU
Non-coding RNA from Silurus meridionalis, 910 nucleotides. Lineage: Eukaryota; Metazoa; Chordata; Actinopteri; Siluriformes; Siluridae. The record is from the annotation of a RefSeq genome assembly.